This is a non-coding RNA of Mycena leptocephala, 96 nucleotides long. The record is from the annotation of a GenBank genome assembly. NCBI's taxonomy places the organism in Eukaryota, Fungi, Basidiomycota, Agaricomycetes, Agaricales, Mycenaceae.
GCGUCCUUGGUGUAGCGGUAACAUACAAUCUACUUCUAUCACAUUAUUUGUUCCCUUAGAUUGGGUCCGGGGUUCGACUGACUCCCUGAGGGCGCA